AGCGAACGCUGGCGGCAGGCUUAACACAUGCAAGUCGAACGCCCCGCAAGGGGAGUGGCAGACGGGUGAGUAACACGUGGGAACGUACCCUUUGGUUCGGAAUAACUUGGGGAAACUCAAGCUAAUACCGGAUAAGCCCUUAUGGGGAAAGGUUUAUUGCCGAAGGAUCGGCCCGCGUCUGAUUAGCUAGUUGGGGAGGUAAUGGCUCACCAAGGCGACGAUCAGUAGCUGGUCUGUGAGGAUGAUCAGCCACACUGGGACUGAGACACGGCCCAGACUCCUACGGGAGGCAGCAGUGGGGAAUAUUGGACAAUGGGGGCAACCCUGAUCCAGCCAUGCCGCGUGAGUGAUGAAGGCCUUAGGGUUGUAAAGCUCUUUUACCCGGGACGAUAAUGACUGUACCGGGAGAAUAAGCCCCGGCUAACUUCGUGCCAGCAGCCGCAGUAA
Molecule: ribosomal RNA, 447 nt
Filed under: uncultured bacterium
Lineage: Bacteria
Description: partial 16S ribosomal RNA
Rfam family: Bacterial small subunit ribosomal RNA
Source: RNAcentral